This is a long non-coding RNA of Photinus pyralis (common eastern firefly), 1074 nucleotides long. RefSeq lists it as uncharacterized. NCBI's taxonomy places the organism in Eukaryota, Metazoa, Arthropoda, Insecta, Coleoptera, Lampyridae. The transcript has 3 exons. The record is from RefSeq and is a predicted model, not a curated record.
AGAUAUAUCGUUGAGUGAAAAGUAAUAAGAGACGCAACUUGAUCAAUUUAUAUGAGGCUUGUGCGGGCACCGACAAAUAGAUGCGCCAGUUGUCAAAAGGCACCGAGAUCACAGAGUACUUGACUUUUAUUCGGUGCCGAGGCCCGAGAUGUUUCAGUGACGUAAUUGAUUGGAAAGUGUUGGUGAUGACGUCACGACAGGGCUGCCAAAUAAACAGCUGAUGGAAAUAAAACAAUUCAUUCGCAAAACACAAAUUCAUUUUUAGUGCGCGUUUUGCAAUGGCGUUUUGUUUCCGAUUUCCCUUUUUAGUGCUACUGUCGUGGAUGUCCACAUGAUUCAAGACGGGAAACGUGCAGUUGUUCCGAUUUCCAGCAGAAAAUAAACAAUUUUACUAGUGGAAAAAGAUGUGCAGUAGAGCGAGCCAAUCGAGAUCCGAAGUAGAGUGAUGGUAACAACAUGUUGGGUCACCACUACCAUAUUAUUCCCAUGGAAUAAAGAGGGCACAUGGAAAUUUCUUUAUCGAGAAACGUGGAAAAGAAAAACCAAAAAAGUUUGACCAGUAAGAAAUGUAACGAAGAACCCGGAGCCAUGGAAGCAGGUCCUUUCACUUCAACAUUUCUGCUAAAAUCUCGAACACUUGAAAAAACCGAGUUGUACUUUUUCAAAGAAGAAAAUACUAAUUUAAAUGAAACCCUACAACUACAACAGUGUGAAAAAAAACUAUUGUUCCAAGAUAUUAGUGGGGCUCACUUUUUAGUGUAGCUGGGCUGUGGAAAUCAUACCACCAGACUAUCUAUUAUGUACGUUGAUGAAGUUUCGAUUAAAUUUAAAAUAUUUUAAGUGUUUUAGAUUUACAGUGAGUAGGUAACAUGAAAAUGCAAAACAUUAUCGUCACAUUUAUAUGUGCUACUUGUAAUGUUGUACGCGGGCCUUAUGAGUAAUAUGAGUAAUAGAGAGAAAAAUUAUCUUUUUAUAUCGACAUGCUUCAAAGACAUCACAAAUGGCAGAAUUGUGUUGGAUUGCACGGAAAUUGAAGGUGCAAUUCCGCAUUCCUUUAAAAAAGCUUUAUCUUCU